UUUUAGCCCUGAUUGCAGCGAAAAGCCUUUGGUGAAGAAAACCUAUUUUUUCUUGGUUUGGUAGAGCGACCAGCGGAAGCUCCUGCCAGACCUUUGAAAAAAAGGUUUUUGAGCCAAAGCUUGCAGUGAAAAGCAGGAUUAGCU
Molecule: small RNA, 144 nt
Filed under: Flavobacterium lacus
Lineage: Bacteria; Pseudomonadati; Bacteroidota; Flavobacteriia; Flavobacteriales; Flavobacteriaceae
Description: Flavo-1 RNA
Rfam family: Flavo-1 RNA
Source: RNAcentral